Molecule: ribosomal RNA, 234 nt
Filed under: uncultured bacterium
Lineage: Bacteria
Description: partial 16S ribosomal RNA
Rfam family: Bacterial small subunit ribosomal RNA
Source: RNAcentral
UACGGAGGGGGCUAGCGUUGUUCGGAAUUACUGGGCGUAAAGCGCACGUAGGCGGCUUUGUAAGUUAGAGGUGAAAGCCCGGGGCUCAACUCCGGAAUUGCCUUAAGACUGCAUCGCUAGAAUUGUGGAGAGGUAAGUGGAAUUCCGAGUGUAGAGGUGAAAUUCGUAGAUAUUCGGAAGAACACCAGUGGCGAAGGCGACUUACUGGACACAUAUUGACGCUGAGGUGGCGAA